Molecule: ribosomal RNA, 494 nt
Filed under: uncultured bacterium
Lineage: Bacteria
Description: partial 16S ribosomal RNA
Rfam family: Bacterial small subunit ribosomal RNA
Source: RNAcentral
GACGAACGCUGGCGGCGUGCUUGACACAUGCAAGUCGAACGGAAAGGCCUGCUUUCCCUUGUGGAUUGCGGGUACUCGAGUGGCGAACGGGUGAGUAACACGUGAGUGAUCUGCCCCCAACUUGGGUAUAAGCCUGGGAAACUGGGUCUAAUUCCCGAUAGGACUGCAGGGUGGUGCCUGUGGUGGAAAACGAUUUUCUAGUGGUUGGGGAUGAGCUCGCGGCCUAUCAGCUUGUUGGUGGGGUCAUGGCCUACCAAGGCGGCGACGGGUAGCCGGCCUGAGAGGGUGGACGGCCACAUUGGGACUGAGAUACGGCCCAGACUCCUACGGGAGGCAGCAGUGGGGAAUAUUGCACAAUGGGCGGAAGCCUGAUGCAGCGACGCCGCGUGGGGGAUGACGGCCUUCGGGUUGUAAACUCCUUUCGACCGCGAGGAAGCCACCUGGUUGGAAGGGUGGUGACGGUAGUGGUAGAAGAAGCACCGGCUAACUACGUG